Molecule: long non-coding RNA, 2599 nt
Organism: Amphiprion ocellaris (clown anemonefish)
Lineage: Eukaryota; Metazoa; Chordata; Actinopteri; Pomacentridae
Source: Ensembl
AAACGGUGCAAAGACAUCCUCUGCAUCACCCGUCACUCAUGGCUCCUGAGUGUCCUUCAGUGUUGUUGUUGCUGUUCUUUAGUCACCAUGGCAACCAGACCUGAGGCUGUUCUUAUAAACUCACCUGCUUCUCUGAAACUGAACCAGUGUGACGACAACCCUGGAGGAACGUGCUUCAGUUUGGAGGCUGGACGUGAUGCGACUGUUUUUCCAUUUAGUGCAUCUUCUUCUGCUGGAAACUGAAAGUACUUGAGGGCUGGAAAUUUACAUCCUUUGACAGCCGCCUCGUUUCAUUCCCACGUGAGAUCGGAGGCGAAAAGGUGAGACGUUCACAGAGUCGUAGAAGCAAACAUCAGAGAGAGAUAAGAAUCACUCAGCUGUGACAUUAAACACUUGACCUGGAAUCAUCGGAGCACUGAAAGGAAACAUGUAGCGAUGAUGUCAUCUGACAAACCGGUUUCCUGACAAGAAAUCAAACACGACAGCUCAAAGACUGAAGACGUCUGAGGGAGUCGCUGACAGAACGCUGCCGUGAGUUCAACAGGUGGAUCAGAACUCACCUGGACUCUGACAGCCAAUCAGAGAGUUCAACAGGUGGAUCAGAGCUCACCUGGACUCUGACAGCCAAUCAGAGAGUUCAACAGGUGGAUCAGAGCUCACCUGGACUCUAACAGUCAAUCAGAGAGUUCAACAGGUGGAUCAGAACUCACCUGGACUCUGACAGCCAAUCAGAGAGUUCAACAGGUGGAUCAGAGCUCACCUGGACUCUAACAGCCAAUCAGAGACUCCGGCAUAAACAGCAGAGCAACGCUUCAAUCGUUUCCGGUGUCUGUGAUGAACUGUUGUUUCUCUGACAGUGAGGAGAUGAUGUGCAGGAUUCUGCUGCUGCUCAGCUUCAGCUCCAGUGUCUCUGGAGUCCUGUCCUUUAACAAGGCUUUACACUAUGAGGCUGAGGAGAACAGCAACGUCACCGUGGAGUGGAGCUUCGCCUUGACAACCGGCCUCAGCAUCUCCUCCCUGAAGAUCCACUGUUUGCUGCUCCCUGACCUGCAGGUGUUUUAUCACCUGGACCACAGCGUGGAGGAGCCUCAGCACCAGCGGUUUGCUGGACGGGUCCAAUGCGACACAGAGGCUCUGACUGCAGGACGAGUCCGGCUGCUUCUGUCCAGGACCAGGACAGACGACUCGGGCCGCUACCUGUGCAGGAUGGUCACCGGGUUUGGCAAGGAGGUCAGAGAGUUCUGGCUCAACGUCACCGCUGCAACAGUCAGAACCACACCUGAACCUCCCAGUGCGGUCAGAACCUUGCUGCUGGUUGCCAUGGCAGCAGGGGUGGUGGUUCUGUUGACCUCCUGCUGCCUGGUGCUCCACUGACGUCCGAUCUGAGUCUAACGAGGAUCUGGCGCCCUCUUGCUGCUCCAGAAGGAACCUGCAGGUGAGUCACACCUGGCUCUGCUGCAGAAGCUUCACCGCAGAGUUGUGGUUCUGGACCGACCCGGUUCCGUGGAGGCGGGACCGCAGCGUUCUUGUUUACCUGCCUGGAGGAGCUCUUGAAGCUCAGGUGAUCACAGAUGUUCUCGCUGAUGUUUAAAAGUGAAACCGGUUUACGGGGACUUUGGUGUAAAUGUGAAUGUUUUCAGACAGAAUUCACUAAAUCUGUUCCUCAACUUUCUGUGAUCCUCUUCGGUUUACGUUUUCCAUAUCUGGGUUUUCACGUGUUGGUUAAAUAAACGUUGCAGUAACCGUUCUGUAAUCUUCAUGUCAGUGGAUCAUGGAUUGUAAAUACAUAAAGUAAUGAUACAAGUCUUCACCUGAAUAAUCAACACUGACUUUAUGUUUUGGAAUAUUUAUACUUUGUCUGUCGAUAAAUGUACUUUUUUUCUUUUAAAUAUUAAAAAAAAUGCUUUUAUUGCAAGUAGUGCUUUUAUUUUCAGGCUACAUUUCUCUUUUAAUGCUGCAGUAAGGGGACCAAGCAAACAUACACGAGGAUUUGUUUUGAUAGUUGCCUUUUUUUUGUUGCAUGAAUAAAAACCAGAUUUGGUGUUUAGAGUGUGUCACCUGGAGUGGAUGUAAAACUGGUCUGGUGUCAGUUUUAACCAGAACUCUGAUGUGUUUGUCUUCCUAAAAUGCCAUGUGUCUGACUCCUCGUCACACUUUGAAUCAGAAAACAAAGAUUAUGACUUCUUGAUGAACAACAUCCUCAUCUUCGGGACAUUUUAUAUACACAAAUGCAAAUCCAUGAUGGUAAAUCCUAGAUUUUAUGUGUUUCAUGAGGAGUUUCUGUCCUUCACUAAAGCCCUUAAAAAUGAAGUCUAAACAUGCAAUGAAACUGUUCAAUGUGAUUGAGAAUUACGAUCUGCAAAAAAACGCCUUAGCUCUAUGUUUUGUUCUGUUUUAUUUAUAUUUAUUUAUUUUUUUUCCUUUUUUGCUUUGAUUCUAUUUCAUUCUCUGACUGCGCUUCAUAUAAUUUUCAAGAACUGCCUCUUUUAAUAGAUUUAUAUAAUAUUUUACUGCACUGGAAGCACCUGUUCGUUAUAAAAAAUGCCUUUGUAGAGACUGUAUUCUACAGUGUUUUGUUAAAUGAUUUUGUCAAUAAAGG